CAUGGACAAAAUAUAAGAAAAUAGUUGAUCUUUCUUAAAUACCUUUUCAUUUCUCUUUUCAGUGCCUAUGAAAUCCCGUUGACCUUCCACACUACUUCAUUUGAAUCUGAUUAGACACUCACUGCCUUCAUGCUUCCUCGUGGCUGUUAAGACGUUUGGUCCAAAGCUUUAAUCUUUACUGCGCUUUCCAUUCUUACCAAAUUCAUCAAAACAAAUACCUUUAAGGUCAUUAUGUAUUCCUCAGCUCUGCAGUUGUUUUUACACUCGACUUUACAUAAUGAGACAUGGGAAAAUAAGCACCCUCAGGAAAAACCAAUUCUUCCAGAGGCACAAGAAACAGAAAAGAAACAGCACAGACAAGAAAUAGACAGUUGCCAAAGCUCAGCAUGGAUCCAAAAUCAUUCAAUCAAUCAAUCAACCAUCACACCAACAAGAAUUUUUAGCCACUUAUGUGCCAAGCACUAUGUCUCAUGCUCUGGAUAUAAAGGAAACGACAUCACAAUGGAGUUUCAGGCAUUGUUGCAGAGGUGGCUGAGAUGUUUGUGUAAUGAAGAGCAUUAUAAAGAAUUCUUUCAGGCCCCUCAAACACACUUUCACUGCCUGGUCAUGAGAAGCUCACAGCUUGUCAUUGCAAGGUUUGACUCUUUCCUUAUUGAUCCUGCUUUUCACUCUCCCUUUGUGUCCUCUCAAUGUCUCUGCUCCUACUUGCCCUUUCUUUUAUUCCUUCCCAUAUUAAUGAAUAUAAAAUAAGAAGCAGUAGCUUAAAAAUAGAAAGCGGAAAAAGUCAGAAAAAUAUGUUCUGUUUUCAACUUCUCACUUCCAUAAAAAGGACACCUCUCGUGCCCCACGUCUCAUUCUCUCCGGCCCUCUCCCUGUGACAUGAAUUUGGUAAUGGGUUACUAAUAAGAAAACUAAUCUCUACUAAUGUAUGUAAGUGACAAGUCUAUGUUUUUCCUGACUGUCCUCUAAUUGGAAACACAGGUGGCUCCUCAAUUUCAUAUAUUCGUGUCUUUAAAACACAUUGAACCAAUUACCUGGAUUAUUCAGACAGUAAAUUUGCUUUUGCCUCAAUUCUCCCUUUCAUUUGGGCUUGGCAAAACUGAUUAUAUACAUUAAUGCAUUUGGAAUAAGAAUUGUUAUAUUGAGAACAAAAAAUAUUACAACUAAGUAGUAACCUUCUUGAAGGUAAGAUCUAUGUGUCAUUACAAUGUAUCUAAGUCCACAAUUUCAAAUGGCAUCUUGUACACACAGUUCUAAAGAAUAUUGAAGUUGAUAAAGUUUCAUUAUCACUACUCUAUGCCAUAUUUAAUGUAAAUAUUCUUAUUCUUCUGAUGUUAUGGAAGGGGAAAUGAGGACAGAGAUGCAAUGGAAGUCUGAGUGUUACAUGACUAGUAAGGGGUAGAGAUGAAAAUUAUACUAGGAUAUUCUAAAUCCAUUUUCUUUCUAACAAUGCCGUGUUGCUCUAAAAUAUUUCUUGAAUUAUAUUCAUUUGGGGGAAAAGAGGGCAAAACAACCUUCAAUAUUUCAUGAAUUUAGGUAAAAUAACAAUUUCAAC
This is a long non-coding RNA of Monodelphis domestica (gray short-tailed opossum), 1555 nucleotides long. Lineage: Eukaryota; Metazoa; Chordata; Mammalia; Didelphimorphia; Didelphidae. The record is from Ensembl.